GGUCACGAGUCUUAGUUCAAAGCCCCGGCUAACUAAGCGGCAACCCUCCACCACGGUGGGGUGCUCCGGGUGAAGACCAGGUCGAUAGCAAGGUGCCAUCGGCAAGUGUGGGUC
RNAcentral lists this non-coding RNA (114 nucleotides) under Actinomycetes (high G+C Gram-positive bacteria). RNAcentral's name for it is "Actinobacterium SCGC SAM-IV sequence". It matches the Rfam family "SAM (S-adenosyl methionine) riboswitch aptamer". Rfam says of the family: SAM-IV is a mRNA element that regulates gene expression via direct sensing of S-adenosylmethionine (SAM or AdoMet). SAM-IV riboswitches share conserved nucleotide positions with the previously described SAM-I riboswitches sequence analysis and molecular recognition experiments suggest that SAM-I and SAM-IV riboswitches share similar ligand binding sites, but have different scaffolds. Lineage: Bacteria; Bacillati; Actinomycetota. The record is from RNAcentral.